UACAGAGGGUGCAAGCGUUGUUCGGAAUUAUUGGGCGUAAAGGGCGCGUAGGCGGUGCGGUAAGUCUGUAGUGAAAUCUCUGGGCUCAACUCAGAGUCUGCUGCAGAAACUGCCGUGCUUGAGUGUGGGAGAGGUGAGUGGAAUUCCCAGUGUAGCGGUGAAAUGCGUAGAUAUUGGGAGGAACACCGGUGGCGAAGGCGGCAUCCUGGACCAAUUCUGACGCUGAGGAGCGAAAGCCAGGGGAGCAAACGGG
Molecule: ribosomal RNA, 253 nt
Filed under: uncultured bacterium
Lineage: Bacteria
Description: partial 16S ribosomal RNA
Rfam family: Bacterial small subunit ribosomal RNA
Source: RNAcentral